AUGCAACCCAAUGCUGUAACGUGGGGCAUCUUCCCCGGCAGAGAGAUCAUUCAGCCAACGGUUGUAGACCCGGUUAGCUUCAUGUACUGGAAAGUGGGCCAAGCUGUACGAAGAGGAGUCCCCCUCUCGCAUGAUCCUCCAGUACAUGCACGACAACUAUUACCUGGUCAACUUGGUGGACAACGACUUCCCCCUGGACAGCUGCCUCUGGCAGGUCUUGGAAGACAUGCACACGCUCUUGAACUGUCCGGCGGAACCUUGAAAGUUGAGAAAAGGCACGCAGCCUCCCAGAUUUGGCUGGCAGCAUAGUCAAAAACCUUAGGGAUGCGAGGUUGGAACCACAGUGGCCCAGACACUCCUCUAGGGGGCGCCGUUGGCUGAAUUUCCCCCCAUUGCCUUCAAGCGGGAGGCCGGUUAAGACAGGCACAUCUCCCUUCUGAUCCAAAAGACUCUGAGGAUGUUUUCGAGCCCUUCUUGGGUUAUUACAAUCCCUUUUCCCCUUAUACUAAUGGCAGCUAGAAAUCCUUAUCCCCACCCCAACCCCAAAUCUCUGUCUGGCCCACCCCCCAUGUUUCUGGGUUGCACUCUAAAAAAGAAAGCUUUCAGCUGCUGCUUCAGUGCGCACCCUCUGAUCAAUGGGACUGAUGGCUUCACAAGCCUCUAGUUCAGAACGGGAGUUGCAGAAAAUCAGGAUGAGCACAGCCGCCUGCGACGCACCUGCCCUCCUCUGGGGAGCCACAGUGUGUGGCCGGCUAUUUAUUUUGUUUUUAUUUUAUUAUAAAGGCGCAGGAUCGUGGUCUUCUUCCUGCGUCUUCUCGUUUUCUCUUGCAGGGGAGGGGGAAGUAUUUAAAAUGCUUGUAAAGGGAAGGAGAGAAGUGAAAUUGAAAUGAAAUAAAAUGUAGUUGAUGCCUACGUUGACUUGCCUUUUAAAAAAGAACGAGAGGAAGAGCUUGGGACUUACUAGGGACUCACGUUGUAGCAGUGUGGCUGGGGGCACAGCAUGGUGAAUGCAGGGAGUUAUGGUAACGUGGUCCCCCCAAAAAAUCACCCAUGGCUGGUGUCCAUUGGGACUUGUGGGGCAGAAACACAUGGGCGCCGGGCGCCAUUUUGCAACAAGAUGGUGGACAGAAGAAUCACUUUUGCAUGGCUUAGGCCUGUUCGGGGGCACAGGUUCAGCGGCAUCUUGAGAUAAUACAAGAGUUCCUGAGGAUUGACGUCAAUGUUUGGGUGCCUUUUUGAACCAACAUGCCAGAUGAAGCGUGACUUCAGCACGACUUUGCCUGAUUUUUGGGGUGGCUGGUCCAAACUCACAAAUGAUGCUAUCCAUUUAUAAACACAUCUCUUUUUGUUUGUUUUUUAAAAAUUCCAAGCACUUCGUGCUAGUCUGUAAUAAUCCGUUUUGAGGCUUAGGGUAUAUAAACUUCAUGAAAUAUAAAUAAAAUAAGA
Molecule: long non-coding RNA, 1446 nt
Filed under: Podarcis muralis (Common wall lizard)
Lineage: Eukaryota; Metazoa; Chordata; Lepidosauria; Squamata; Lacertidae
Description: lncRNA (ENSPMRG00000018885.1)
Source: RNAcentral